AUAUUUGCCCGACAUGGGAGAUACCAUAAUCAUGAAGGUGUUUUUCCUAUGAUGAGGCUCAUUCGUUGCACACCGGCUGUGCUGACUACUUUCUUCUUCUGAAAAAGAGGGAGAGAAAAAAAUCUGCAGUAUGAUUUC
Molecule: small nuclear RNA, 138 nt
Organism: Mesocricetus auratus (golden hamster)
Lineage: Eukaryota; Metazoa; Chordata; Mammalia; Rodentia; Cricetidae
Gene: U1
Rfam family: U1 spliceosomal RNA
About the family: U1 is a small nuclear RNA (snRNA) component of the spliceosome (involved in pre-mRNA splicing). Its 5' end forms complementary base pairs with the 5' splice junction, thus defining the 5' donor site of an intron.
Source: Ensembl